This 431-nucleotide ribosomal RNA is filed under the name uncultured Sinorhizobium sp. RNAcentral describes it as "bacterial SSU rRNA". It matches the Rfam family "Bacterial small subunit ribosomal RNA", at positions 29 to 507 of the family's 1533-position model. Lineage: Bacteria; Pseudomonadati; Pseudomonadota; Alphaproteobacteria; Hyphomicrobiales; Rhizobiaceae. The record is from RNAcentral.
AACGAACGCUGGCGGCAGGCUUAACACAUGCAAGUCGAGCGCCCCGCAAGGGGAGCGGCAGACGGGUGAGUAACGCGUGGGAAUCUACCCUUUUCUACGGAAUAACGCAGGGAAACUUGUGCUAAUACCGUACGAGCCCUUCGGGGGAAAGAUUUAUCGGGAAAGGAUGAGCCCGCGUUGGAUUAGCUAGUUGGUGGGGUAAAGGCCUACCAAGGCGACGAUCCAUAGCUGGUCUGAGAGGAUGAUCAGCCACAUUGGGACUGAGACACGGCCCAAACUCCUACGGGAGGCAGCAGUGGGGAAUAUUGGACAAUGGGCGCAAGCCUGAUCCAGCCAUGCCGCGUGAGUGAUGAAGGCCCUAGGGUUGUAAAGCUCUUUCACCGGUGAAGAUAAUGACGGUAACCGGAGAAGAAGCACCGGCUAACUACGUG